GUCCCAAAUCAGAACCAGUCCCGUAUCUCAGCCCCAUUUGUCAGGUGUCCCAAAUCAGAACCAGUCCCGUAUCUCAGCCCCAUUUGUCAGGUGUCCCAAAUCAGAACCAGUCCCGUAUCUCAGCCCCAUUUGUCAGGUGUCCCAAAUCAGAACCAGUCCCGUAUCUCAGCCCCAUUUGUCAGGUGUCCCAAAUCAGAACCAGUCCCGUAUCUCAGCCCCAUUUGUCAGGUGUCCCAAAUCAGAACCAGUCCCGUAUCUCAGCCCCAUUUGUCAGGUGUCCCAAAUCAGAACCAGUCCCGUAUCUCAGCCCCAUUUGUCAGGUGUCCCAAAUCAGAACCAGUCCCGUAUCUCAUCCCCAUUUGUCAG
Molecule: long non-coding RNA, 366 nt
Organism: Oncorhynchus keta (chum salmon)
Lineage: Eukaryota; Metazoa; Chordata; Actinopteri; Salmoniformes; Salmonidae
Exons: 3
Source: RefSeq, a predicted model, not a curated record